RNAcentral lists this long non-coding RNA (596 nucleotides) under Ananas comosus (pineapple). Its description in RNAcentral is "long non-coding RNA (ACOM_LNC013230)". Lineage: Eukaryota; Viridiplantae; Streptophyta; Magnoliopsida; Poales; Bromeliaceae. The record is from RNAcentral.
AUGUAUAAAAGAAAUGGUAAAAAAUUUAUGUAAGUAACGGAAAUUCAAUAAGGGAUGAUUGCAUGUGAUUGAGAAAUUUUUUUUUUUUGAGAGAGAUAGAUAGCAUACUAUUCCACUUCGUUUAUUUAAUUUAAAAGUAAACUUAGCUGAAAAUGUGAAUCAACUAGAAUUCGAACUCAGAAUCUUAGAUAUCAACUAUCAAAUCUUUUACCACUUAUGCUAGAAAUUUCUAUCCUUUUAUAUCUGAGAUAGUGAGAUUACCGCUAACAUAGGAAAGGGUAAAAAAAAUAAAAGGCUAUCAGGGAGUUAGGUUUAUCUUUAUUUAAAAUAAUUCUUUUCAAGUACUUCAAAUGGAAUUGUAACCAAUUUGGGUAUAGUUUUAAUUGUUGCAAUUGAACUUCCUCAUGCAGUUGCAACUGCAACAAUAAAAUUCAAAAACAUCAAAACAAAUGUCUAAUUUGAAUCUGCAUGUAGUUACAAUUACAGUAUAGUUACAACUAUGUGUAACCAAACAGCCCCUAAGAGUAAAAUUAGACAUAAUCCUAAGUUAAGUUAAUGGAUAGACCGAAAUAGAAUUGGUUUAGAAAACACUUGCA